UACAACAGGAACUUUGACGGAGACAUAAGGUUGGCAGAGAUUGGGAGAUCUCCAAGAGAAGAAGGCAUACUAGAGAUUGAGAGGGGAACAUCAACAUUGUGUGACUCUGAAAAGCUUGAGAAGAAGGCAUACCAGCGAUUUGUAGAUCUCCAAGAAGAUUAUAACCCUUUGAUUAUUUUAGGGAUCGAUGGUGGGUUAGGGUUUUUCUCCCAAUCAAACAAAGGGUAAAAUAGAUCUUUAGAUAGGAGGUGAAGAAGAUGUUUCUCGUUUGGACGAUGGUGAUGAAACCGAGCUUCGGGUUUUAGGGCUAUUGGUGAUGAAAGUAGCAAUGCUACUUUCUUCAGGGUUGUUCUGUUAGUUCGUUGAGGAAAGUUAAUCAUUUAUCUUAUAAUUUUUGAUGAGAUGUUUACAGCAUUUAUGCAUUGUUUAUUUUCUUUCUUAUUCCAGUAUGAUGAAGCAAGGGAGUUUGUAGAGAGAGCUCGCUGCACUGGUUCAAAGAGCUUUAUUUCCAAGGUAUUGGUGAACUACUUGCAAUAACAGUAGUGUCUUUCCUUACUUGAGGGUGAUCACAAGAAAGCAAAAAGUUUAGCAGGAAUACUCCAUUGAGAUCUACGAGUGGUCUGGAACUAGCUGUGAACCAUUGUUGCUGAUGAUGUCCAAGUGCAGUUGUACAUGAUGAGCCCCUAUGUGACGAAAACGUUACAGCCGGGAACCAUUGUUGCUGAUGGAACUAGGGACAACAAAGGCAACUUUUCUACAGCAAUUGCAGCACCUAGGUAGAGACUGAGGCAGAGGCAAAUAGCAAAAAUGAACUGUUCCCACUAGACUGCUUGGGCUGUUGGAUAUCAUUUUUUUUAUCAGAAGAAAAGGAAUUUUAUUAAUGAAAUAUUAGGAAUUA
Nelumbo nucifera (sacred lotus) is the source of this 898-nucleotide non-coding RNA. The record is from RefSeq and is a predicted model, not a curated record. Lineage: Eukaryota; Viridiplantae; Streptophyta; Magnoliopsida; Proteales; Nelumbonaceae.